UACGUAGGGUGCGAGCGUUGUCCGGAAUUACUGGGCGUAAAGAGCUCGUAGGUGGUUUGUCGCGUUGUCCGUGAAAUUCCCGGGCUUAACCUGGGGGCUGCAUUUGAUACGUGUGAUCUAGAGUGCGGUAGGGGAGACUGGAAUUCCUGGUGUAGCGGUGAAAUGCGCAGAUAUCAGGAGGAACACCGAUGGCGAAGGCAGCUCGCUGGGACGGUACUGACGCUGAGGCGCGAAAGCGUGGGGAGCAAACAGG
RNAcentral lists this ribosomal RNA (253 nucleotides) under uncultured bacterium. Its description in RNAcentral is "partial 16S ribosomal RNA". It matches the Rfam family "Bacterial small subunit ribosomal RNA", at positions 524 to 776 of the family's 1533-position model. The record is from RNAcentral.